RNAcentral lists this ribosomal RNA (253 nucleotides) under uncultured bacterium. RNAcentral's name for it is "partial 16S ribosomal RNA". It matches the Rfam family "Bacterial small subunit ribosomal RNA", at positions 524 to 776 of the family's 1533-position model. The record is from RNAcentral.
UACAGAGGUCUCAAGCGUUGUUCGGAUUCAUUGGGCGUAAAGGGUGCGUAGGCGGCGCGGUAAGUCGGGUGUGAAAUCUUGGAGCUUAACUCCGAAACUGCAUUCGAUACUGCCGUGCUUGAGGACUGGAGAGGAGACUGGAAUUUACGGUGUAGCGGUGAAAUGCGUAGAUAUCGUAAGGAAGACCAGUGGCGAAGGCGGGUCUCUGGACAGUUCCUGACACUGAUGCGCGACAGCGUGGGGAGCAAACAGG